This 1101-nucleotide small RNA is filed under the name Pongo abelii (Sumatran orangutan). RNAcentral describes it as "retained intron". Lineage: Eukaryota; Metazoa; Chordata; Mammalia; Primates; Hominidae. The record is from RNAcentral.
GGAGUUCAGGAGGCGGAGCGCCUGUGGGAGCCUUGGAGGGAACUUUCCCAGUCCCCGAGGCGGAUCGGGUGUUGCAUCCAUGGAGCGAGCUGAGAGCUCGAGUACAGAACCUGCUAAGGCCAUCAAACCUAUUGAUCGGAAGUCAGUCCAUCAGAUUUGCUCUGGGCAGGUGGUACUGAGUCUAAGCACUGCGGUAAAGGAGUUAGUAGAAAACAGUCUGGAUGCUGGUGCCACUAAUAUUGAUCUAAAGCUUAAGGACUAUGGAGUGGAUCUUAUUGAAGUUUCAGACAAUGGAUGUGGGGUAGAAGAAGAAAACUUCGAAGGCUUAACUCUGAAACAUCACACAUCUAAGAUUCAAGAGUUUGCCGACCUAACUCAGGUUGAAACUUUUGGCUUUCGGGGGGAAGCUCUGAGCUCACUUUGUGCACUGAGUGAUGUCACCAUUUCUACCUGCCAUGCAUCGGCGAAGGUUGGGACUCGACUGAUGUUUGAUCACAAUGGGAAAAUUAUCCAGAAAACCCCCUACCCCCGCCCCAGAGGGACCACAGUCAGUGUGCAGCAGUUAUUUUCUACACUACCUGUGCGCCAUAAGGAAUUUCAAAGAAAUAUUAAGAAGGUACAGUAAAUUAAUCCUGGUUUUCAAGAGUAUUGGUUAAUGCACAUGAGCAAAAGAUUUACUAAAGAUGUUUAUUCUUCAGUUGAUUCUCUUCCCGUAAAUUAUUGAGAAAUGCUUUAUUUGCAUUUCUCAUUAAAGAUUUAACAUUAAAGACUUAACUUUAGGAUGAUUUACUUUUUUCUUUUCAUCACGUAGUGUUUAUUAGGACUGGGCAACAUAGUGAGACCCUGUCUCUAUGAAAAAUUAAAAAAAAAAAUUUACUGGGCAUGGUGGCAUGCACCUGUAGUUCCAGCUACUUGGGAGGCUGAAGUGGGAGGAUCACUUGAGCCCAGGAACUUGAGGCUGCAGUGAGCUAUGAUUGCGCCACUGCACUUAAGACUGGGAGACAGAGUAAGAUCCUGUCUGGAAAAAUAUAUAUACAUAUAUAUAUUUUUUAUUUUUUAUUUUUAUCUUUUUUUGAGAUGGAGUUUCACUUUGGUGCCCUG